Molecule: long non-coding RNA, 656 nt
Filed under: Homo sapiens (human)
Lineage: Eukaryota; Metazoa; Chordata; Mammalia; Primates; Hominidae
Description: HSALNT0320331
Source: RNAcentral
UGUUGCUGUGGAAACACAAAGCCCAAAUCCUCAAAGAACACUCUGUUCUAGUCCCAGCUGCUGUAUCCAUCUGCGUUGUAUCUCAUUAGCAGAAGAGCCUAGUGAGAUAGGAGUUGCAUCUCUGCUCAUCCAGAUCUCUAGAGAAGGGAUCUACCCCUGGACUUUUUCCUGGGUCUGCUGGAUUUUGCUGGGGGUCCACUCCAGAAGCUGUUUUCCUGGGUAUCACCAGCAGAGGCUGCAGAACAGCAAAGAUGGCUGCCUGUUCCUUCCUCUGGAAGCUUCAUCCCAGAGGAGCACCCGCCAGAUGCCAGUGGAAUCUCUCCUGCGUGAGGUGUCUGUCAACCCUUGGAAGCACCGGGGUCAGGGACCCAUUUGAGGAGGAAUCUAGAGAGGCAGUCUGUCUACAGCGGUUUUGUCAAAACUCCUUAUUGUUUAACUAAGAAAAAAAAAUCCCCCAAACAGUUUCUGACUUUUGUUUCCUUGGUUCAUCUUCCUCUCAUUGUAUCACAGGGCUACUUGAUUGUAUUUCAGUAUUCAAUUUAUAUAUUUCAUAUUCUGCUGAAUGCAUAGAAUAUAAAUUAAAAAUUCUUUUUCUCAAGCAAGUCAAUUCCUAUGUUGUCUAUCUAAUAUAGGAUUUAUUUACCUCAGCACUACUG